CAAGCUCUGGCAAAUUACCUAAAGAUGAUGGGAUAGGACCUACUAAACAGUUAUGGGAGAGGUUUAGGACAAUAAGUAAAUGAAGCUCACCAAGUAUUUUUGGAAUUUCUCCCCUGAAUUGGUUACUAGAAAGGUCAAUAACCGUCCAAAUGGAUAAUAGUAAUUCAAACUUUAUUUCCACUCCUUUUGCUGUAACAGAUAAACCAUAAGCAUAAUUCAACUCAAAUGGGUCACCUAUCAUGUAAUUUGGUUCAACUUUCUUUCCAUACUCAUCUCUAAUGGCAUGCAUAUGCUCAAAAAAAAGAGUAGGUAAGUAGCCACUGAAAUUAUUGUGAGAAAGAUCAAUGAUUUGCAAUUUAGUUAAAGAAACUGUAAUAUCAAAGCUCUCUAUUUGGCCGUAAAAUCUAUUCGACCUCAAGAUAAGAACUUGCAGCUGAUCCAAAUUUCCUAACCAACUUGGGAAAGUGUCAUUCAAAUUGUUGUUUCCAACAUCGAGAAGAUUUAAAGCUUUGCAAUUACCCAACGAUCGUGGUAGUGACCCUUCUAAUUCAUUGUUGUUGAUGUUUAAACUUCUCAACAUGCAACCUUUAGCAAAAUUUUCUGGUAUUUGACCAUGAAAAUUAUUAUUCCCUAGAAAAACUGCUGUGAGAGAAGAACUCAAGUUUCCGAUGCACUUUGGAAUUGUUCCCUCCAAAUUAUUCUCAUCUAAAGCCAUAGCCACAAGGGAAGUCAAAUUGCAUAUUGAAGAAGGGAUUUCUCCAAUUAAGUUAUUAGUUGAAACUCCAUACAAUUGCAAUAAAGGUGGUGGUGUUGGAAUUCGACCUUAGAGAUAAAAUUAAAAAUGAGAUAGAAUUAGGAGUUUGAAGAUUCUUUGGAAUAAAAAUUAUAAAAUAGCUAUAUUUAUGAUGUAUUACAUGCAUGAUUAAUUUACUACACUAUCACAACAACUUUUAAGUUGUAAUCUAUUGAAGGAAACUACUACCAUCUUCUAGAGAAAUUUUUAUUUCUCUUACUUAAAAGUAAAAUGGGAUUGCGUAAAUGUAUAAAAAAUAGAAGGAAAAAAAAUAUCAAACUAUACCUAAUAGUUUAUUAUAAAAGAGAUAACCAUUUAAUAUCUUACUUAUAUUUCAUUUUUUAGUGUUUAUUAUUAUUUUUUGUACUUUUAUGUAUAUUUUAUAAUUUAUUAUCGGGGUUCACGGUUGUUACUGUCAAGAAUAUCAUCUCUAAGACUUGAAUCUUGUUUUCCCCUUAAGAGAGUAAUAUAUUUUACCACUGCACUGAAUAUUUAUUGGUGUAGUAUUUAUUAUAACUACAAAUAAUUUUAAUUAUCUUUUUAUGAACCUCUAAGUUAGAGGUCAAAUAAAAAAGUAAAUUAAUUGAUGUAGUGUUUAAAUUUUUAUCAUUAUUUUCUAUAUUUGUUUAUUUUUUAUUUUUUUAAAUAUAUAUUUAAACUUUGCAAAAUGAAUGGAUAUAUUUGAACAUGAAACAUGAUACAAUAAUUUAGUGAGAAUGAAAUAAAAUAAUGGUGGAAAAAUGAUAUGAUGACAUUAAACGGAAAAUAAGCGAAUGAAUAAAUAAGUAAAUAAAGGAGAAUAAGAAGAUAAAGACCAAAAACAAUUGCUAUGCCAAUUGUUGAAACUAAUUUUUUUGAAAAAAAGUGGAUCUGACUUAUAUUUUGAAAAAAGAAAAGAAAAUGGAGUCGCCACCAAUCUUUUUAUUUGGGUGUGAUUGGAUCACCUCAUAAUUAAAUCAUUUUAAUAAAAAUUUAAAUUUACUAAAACGAUAAUUUUUGGUCUUAUAAAAUCCAAAAAAGGGUUCGGGAGUCGGUUACGCAUGAGGAAGGGUUAGCACCCUCAACACGCCCAAAAUUGAUACCUUAUUUUAAAAUAAGAUCAUUGUAUUAAAAAAACUUAUAUAAAUCAAAUUACACGUUAAGACCCUUCCAUUUCGGAGAGAGAAAAUGUCACACCCAAUGGGUUAGGGCAUGAUAUUUCACAUCCUCAAAAAUGAGCUUGUCAUUUAAAAAACUCAUGCAAUGAAAUUUAAAAUGAUAUUCAAUUGUUUAAGUCAGAUGAAGAAAUCGAAGCCCAAUACGUUAGGGCCCAAUUUCUCAAAAUUCCAAACAUUGAAUACUGCCUUUAUUAUUUUUUAGAAAAACCCUCAUCUCAAGAAAACAACAUGUCAUAUCCAAUGCGUUAGGACACAACGUAUCGAAUUCCCGAUAAUGAGCUUUUUAUUUAUGUGUUUUGAUGAAUGAAUAUUCUUGAUUAUUUGAAUUCAACGAGGAAAAUUGGAACCCAAUACAUUAGGGAUCAAUCCUCUCGAAGAUCCAAAUACCGAAUAUUGUGUUAUCUUGAAAGCUUUUGAAUAAAAUGAUUCCCAAAACUUAAACCAUAUUAAAAAUAAUUUUUGAGCAAAUAAAGAAUGAUGGAAAUGAUAAUAUGCAAUACGAAGUAAUAAUUCGUAAACCAAAAAAAGUACUCUAAUGGAUGACAAAUAAUCGAUAAGUACAAAUAAGUAAUACAAUACACAUAAGGGCAAUAAUCUCACAAUGCAUGUUGUUUUAAUGUCGAUAUUUAACAAUCAAGAAAAAUGAAACAAAAUAAUAUAUAUAGAACAAUUUGAAGUAACUAGUAUAAAACAAUUUAAAGUAAAUAAUAUGCAACAUAAAUAAAGACAUGCAAAGCAAAAAUAAAUAACAUAGAAGACGAUUUUAAAAUAAUAUAUAAAAAGUUGAAAACAAAUAAUACGUAAAAAGAAAAUUUCAAACAAAGGAUAUACAAAACAAUUUCUUUUAAAAAAAUGAUAUAUGAAAACAAUUCCAAAUAAAUAAUAUAAAAAAAUAAAAUGGAUAAUAGUUUAUAUGGUUUGAAAUGUUUAACAUGUGAAAAACUUAAAAUAAAUAAUAAAAUAAAUAAAUAAUACAUGAGGAAAAGUAUUGAAUAAAAAAAUUGCAAAAUAAAUCGAAAUCAACAGAUUUGGGACUAAUUUGGGAUGAAAAUGAAAUUUAAAGGCAUAAAUUACAAAUGAAAGGAAACGGGGGCCAACUAAAGUGCGCCGAAAAAGGGCGAGGACCAGAUGGGGAAUUAUUCCCUAUCUCAAAACGACACUGUUUAAGGUGUUUUUCCUUUUAAAAUGGUCUAAGGACCAAAUUGGGAGAAAAAUGAAAAUUUGUGGCUAAAUCAAAAAAUAAAAAAGAGAUAGGACCCAAUUGUAAUCAACCUUAAAAGCUGAAGGACUAGGGGCGCGAAUAGCCCCUUUGUCCAAAAACACUUGGAUCCUAAGCGGUUCGGGUCGGGUCAGUCCGAUCCAUGUCUAAACGACGUCGUUUUGGGGCUUUCUGAACCCCUCAUUUACAAACAAUUUAUCAUGGCUUUUAUAGCCAUUUUACAAGAUUUUUUUAAUUCAUUUAUUGUCACUUCUUGCAGGCAAAUGAUUGCUUAAUUUACUUCGUAACUUCUUACAUUUAGACAUAAUAAUGAGGUUUUAAUCUUUUAAGAACUUUUAUUUUAUUUACUUAAAAAUUGCAUAAAUUUAAUAAAAAAAAAGGAGAAUAAAAGAAAAAUGAAAUUAUACCUGUCAAUUUGUUAUAGCUAAGAUAAAGUGAUUGGAGAGAUGUCAAGUUUCCAAUAACAAGAGGAAUUUCACCUGAAAUGUAUAAUUAAAUCGGUCAAAAUUUGUAAAUAUUUUCCUACCAAGCCCUUAAUUUAUUUGUUGAGCAUAUUAGUGUCUGUUUGAUUUACCUAUUUUUAAAUAUGCAAGUUUUGUUUAGUUUUAUAGUACUUGUGACAACCCAAAAAUAUUUUAAUUAUAAUACUCGAAUUUAUAGUUGAAAUGAUGAUGACAAUUAGAAGGAAUAAAAUAGUUCACGCUUAAUAGUUUUGCUCAAAUAUAGGAUACAUCAUCGAAGCUGAACAAAUAUAUAUAUUUUUAGAAACUUUUAUUAGUUAGCAGUGAUUAGCUAAUGUCAAACAACUGAUACUAUUGCAUAUAAUAUGUUUCCCUAAACUGUAUACUAUUUAUCUCUCGCCACAAAUUAUCAAAAACACAUGUGCAUUUUAAGCCAAACAUUUAUAAUAAAGAUAAGAGCCGUAUUGACACAAUUUUUUGCUAAGGAAUCAGCAAACACACACCCAUAACUGCACAUAUAGACACACAUAUAUCUGCACAUACAGAAUACUAGAACCCAAAAAUGUCGCUAGAACCCAGAUAUAGUCUAGGUGAGAAGGGACUAAGGAGUUGAACAGUAAAGAAACUAGUAAGAACUCACAUGAUAAUGAGCUUGUUGUAACCAGAAUACAAAGAUUGGGGCAGAGUCAAGUUUCCAAUUUCUAUAGGCAUAAUUCCCUCCAAAGAGUUGUUAUGCAACGAUAAAUACUUCAACUCUUUACACUUGAAUAAGCUAUUUGAAAUUCUACUAAAAUUUGAUUAUGUGUGAAGCUUAAUUAUUGCAAUUUAGAAAUGUUAUCAAACAUCUAGAUAGUAGAUGACCUAUAAUGAGAUGAUUAGUUUUGAAACUAUUUUUUUAUUGGUGAAAAGAUAUAUAAGAUUUACACAUGUAAGGAGCCUGAAUAAGAAUUAUUAUGAAAAUAUAACUAAAUGAAGCUUGAAAAGAUAUAUAAGAUUUACAGUAUAGUGCCGCAUUCGGUACUUUUUGGAGUGUAGGGAUGGGUGGGUUGAUUAUAUCCCCACAUGAAGUAUAGGGUUGGACGAAGAUGGUGUGUAGAGGCUAGCUGGGUAGGAUUUGUAUACUGCAUAAUCCGUUACUGCACUGAUUGCUGAUAUUGUAAUAAGCCAAGGCCCAAAUGAAUGAUUACUUCUGUACUGAAAUAGGCUAAAGCCCAAACUGAUAUUGUCACUGAUACUGAAAAGGGCGUAGGCCCAAACUGAGUUUAUUAUGCUUACUGUCUGGUUAUUUUUGUAUAUUGUAUGCUUGUUUGCAUGGGGAAUUACGAGUUUUGAAAACUCACCCCUUUUGUUAAUUUGUACAGGUAAUCCCUACUCAUAGGCGGAUUGACGCGGCAGAGGACUCAGCGGUGGCCACACGACUCUUUUUUUUACUGUUUCGUAUUUAAUUACAUUCAUUUUUAAAGCUUUAUUGGGGUUUUUAUCUGUAAUAACGGCCGCUAUGAAUUUUUGCUUUAUGUUUGGAUUUAACACUACUUUAUGUUUUAUAUCUUCUAGAGGUAGAUAAAACACGAUUUUUAAAAGAAAUGCAUGUGUUUUAGCAAAAUACCCACAAUGACACAAGCUGUUUUAAAAAGCUUCCACAACGUAUAAUGUUUUGCAAACUAACGAUUGAUUAAAAAUCACUAUUUUAGGAUUAAUAAAGUUAACGAAGAGAUCUAAACAGAAAAUGUUUUAAGCAAAGUUACGGUGUUUUUCAACAUGAGCUUCGGUUUUCAAACACACUACCAUGUGACACCGCCAGAUUCAACCAUAAUGUCUAGGCCGAUUUGGGGUUUUACAUCUAUUAUGGUGUGUAGUAGAGUUGGGUAGGAUGUUUUCUAAUAAAUCUGCAUUCUAAUCGAUGGUAAUUCAAGAAAUACUACACUGGAUAUUAAAUCCAAUAGUAUCAAGAAUCCACAUUUCACUAGUUUAAUAUUCAAACCAUCAUAUUUGUUAUAUUGAAUUUAAGUAAUUAGUAAUUCAAGUUAUUGAUAUUUUUCUUAUACCAAUAUUCUUAUAUUUUUCUAAUUUCAAAGUAGUUAAAGGAUUAAAUGUGUAAUUAAUUGUUUUUAAGCCAAAAGUGUUAUAAUAAGAAGUUAAAAGAUUGUAAUUAAUUAGUAUUAUAUAGCGCGAUUGUAUUAUAAAUAGAAGAGACUGCAUAACAGUAACAACAAAAAAGAGAAUAAAGAUGAUAUUAUACCUGUUAAGUAAUUAGUAGAAAGAUCGAUGUCCGUGAGGGAAAUAAGGAAUUAGAUACAUUGGUCCCAUAAUAUGUCACUCAAAAUCUCAAAUUCAUCCAACAAAAAGAAAUCAUCACUUUAGUUAAUUAAAUCAAGAACAAAUAAAGUUAUGGAUGAACAAAUAUGGGAAGCAAAGAAAUGUGAUGGAUCAAAAGGGACGGAUAAGCUAAUUUCUGCCAUAAGGUAGAUGGUGAACUUAGGAUGUGGAGUUUCAAUAAAUACCUAAAAAUACCUAAACUUUUGGCAAUUCAAAUAGAUUAUACUAAUUUUUAAUUACUUAAAAAUAUUGCAUAAAUUUAAUAACAAAAAGGAGAAUAAAAGAAACAUGAAAUUAUACCUGUCAAUUUGUUAUUGCUAAGAGAAAGGUAUUGGAGAGAAGUCAAGUUUCCAAUAACAAGAGGAAUUUUACCUGAAACAUAUAAUUAAAUCAAUAAAUAUAUAAUUAUUUUUAUUAAUUAUUUUAAGAGUUUAAUAAGGCAAAUCUAAAAGGUAGAAGAAAUAGCUAAUUAGAAGUAGUGUGUGAUUCAAAAGGGUAUAAAGUAGGUCCAAAUUAAAAAUCAAAUUUUAAAAUAAUUUAAUGUAAAAUUUAACUCUUUUCUUAUCACCAAAUAAAUUUACUUUCAGAGAAAUUACAAGUUUUAAUAAAAUAGUUGAAAUAAGUGAUUGUUUAUGACUAGGUGAAAAUUAGAUGAAAAAAACAUAUAAUUAAUAAUUUAUAUAUCUAUUUCUCUCAUACUAUGGACUAUGGUCGAGCAAAAAUUAAUAAAAAAAUCAAACGGAUAGAAAUAGCUUAGUUACAAGAUUGAUGUUAAUCCAAUAAAUUUUUAAAAAAAAACACAUUGUUUCCAAAAGGGUAAGAAAUAGGUCCAAAUUAUAAUUCAGAACAUAAAUUAAUUUAAUGUAAAAUUUAAAUAAAAUUUAAAAUUCUUUCAUUAUCAAAUAAAUUUUCUUAAUAAAAUACUUUUAGUGAAUUAAUUAGAAGUCUUACUUAUUAACAAUAAAAAAAAUAUUUAUCCUUGUGCCAGAAAAAAACACCGCAUAGAUCAUAAAAAGGAAAAACUAAAACAUCCAUAAAACCACUAAACACAAAAUUCAUAGUUGUAGAGGAGGAUUAGAUACAUUGGUCCCAUAAUAUGUCACUCAAAAUCUCAAAUUCAUCCAACAAAAAGAAAUCAUCACUUUAGUUAAUUAAAUCAAGAACAAAUAAAGUCAAAAUCUCAAAUUCAUCCAACAAAAAGAAAUCAUCACUUUAGUUAAUUAAAUCAAGAACAAAUAAAGUUAUGGAUGAACAAAUAUGGGAAGCAAAGAAAUGUGAUGGAUCAAAAGGGACGGAUAAGCUAAUUUCUGCCAUAAGGUAGAUGGUGAACUUAGGAUGUGGAGUUUCAAUAAAUACCUAAAAAUACCUAAACUUUUGGCAAUUCAAAUAGAUUAUACUAAUUUUUAAUUACUUAAAAAUAUUGCAUAAAUUUAAUAACAAAAAGGAGAAUAAAAGAAACAUGAAAUUAUACCUGUCAAUUUGUUAUUGCUAAGAGAAAGGUAUUGGAGAGAAGUCAAGUUUCCAAUAACAAGAGGAAUUUUACCUGAAACAUAUAAUUAAAUCAAUAAAUAUAUAAUUAUUUUUAUUAAUUAUUUUAAGAGUUUAAUAAGGCAAAUCUAAAAGGUAGAAGAAAUAGCUAAUUAGAAGUAGUGUGUGAUUCAAAAGGGUAUAAAGUAGGUCCAAAUUAAAAAUCAAAUUUUAAAAUAAUUUAAUGUAAAAUUUAACUCUUUUCUUAUCACCAAAUAAAUUUACUUUCAGAGAAAUUACAAGUUUUAAUAAAAUAGUUGAAAUAAGUGAUUGUUUAUGACUAGGUGAAAAUUAGAUGAAAAAAAACAUAUAAUUAAUAAUUUAUAUAUCUAUUUCUCUCAUACUAUGGACUAUGGUCGAGCAAAAAUUAAUAAAAAAAUCAAACGGAUAGAAAUAGCUUAGUUACAAGAUUGAUGUUAAUCCAAUAAAUUUUUAAAAAAAAACACAUUGUUUCCAAAAGGGUAAGAAAUAGGUCCAAAUUAUAAUUCAGAACAUAAAUUAAUUUAAUGUAAAAUUUAAAUAAAAUUUAAAAUUCUUUCAUUAUCAAAUAAAUUUUCUUAAUAAAAUACUUUUAGUGAAUUAAUUAGAAGUCUUACUUAUUAACAAUAAAAAAAAUAUUUAUCCUUGUGCCAGAAAAAAACACCGCAUAGAUCAUAAAAAGGAAAAACUAAAACAUCCAUAAAACCACUAAACACAAAAUUCAUAGUUGUAGAGGAGGAUUAGAUACAUUGGUCCCAUAAUAUGUCACUCAAAAUCUCAAAUUCAUCCAACAAAAAGAAAUCAUCACUUUAGUUAAUUAAAUCAAGAACAAAUAAAGUCAAAAUCUCAAAUUCAUCCAACAAAAAGAAAUCAUCACUUUAGUUAAUUAAAUCAAGAACAAAUAAAGUUAUGGAUGAACAAAUAUGGGAAGCAAAGAAAUGUGAUGGAUCAAAAGGGACGGAUAAGCUAAUUUCUGCCAUAAGGUAGAUGGUGAACUUAGGAUGUGGAGUUUCAAUAAAUACCUAAAAAUACCUAAACUUUUGGCAAUUCAAAUAGAUUAUACUAAUUUUUAAUUACUUAAAAAUAUUGCAUAAAUUUAAUAACAAAAAGGAGAAUAAAAGAAACAUGAAAUUAUACCUGUCAAUUUGUUAUUGCUAAGAGAAAGGUAUUGGAGAGAAGUCAAGUUUCCAAUAACAAGAGGAAUUUUACCUGAAACAUAUAAUUAAAUCAAUAAAUAUAUAAUUAUUUUUAUUAAUUAUUUUAAGAGUUUAAUAAGGCAAAUCUAAAAGGUAGAAGAAAUAGCUAAUUAGAAGUAGUGUGUGAUUCAAAAGGGUAUAAAGUAGGUCCAAAUUAAAAAUCAAAUUUUAAAAUAAUUUAAUGUAAAAUUUAACUCUUUUCUUAUCACCAAAUAAAUUUACUUUCAGAGAAAUUACAAGUUUUAAUAAAAUAGUUGAAAUAAGUGAUUGUUUAUGACUAGGUGAAAAUUAGAUGAAAAAAAACAUAUAAUUAAUAAUUUAUAUAUCUAUUUCUCUCAUACUAUGGACUAUGGUCGAGAAAAAAUUAAUAAAAAAAUCAAACGGAUAGAAAUAGCUUAGUUACAAGAUUGAUGUUAAUCCAAUAAAUUUUUAAAAAAAAACACAUUGUUUCCAAAAGGGUAAGAAAUAGGUCCAAAUUAUAAUUCAGAACAUAAAUUAAUUUAAUGUAAAAUUUAAAUAAAAUUUAAAAUUCUUUCAUUAUCAAAUAAAUUUUCUUAAUAAAAUACUUUUAGUGAAUUAAUUAGAAGUCUUACUUAUUAACAAUAAAAAAAAUAUUUAUCCUUGUGCCAGAAAAAAACACCGCAUAGAUCAUAAAAAGGAAAAACUAAAACAUCCAUAAAACCACUAAACACAAAAUUCAUAGUUGUAGAGGAGGAUUAGAUACAUUGGUCCCAUAAUAUGUCACUCAAAUUCAUCCAACAAAAAGAAAUCAUCACUUUAGUUAAUUAAAUCAAGAACAAAUAAAGUUAUGGAUGAACAAAUAUGGGAAGCAAAGAAAUGUGAUGGAUCAAAAGGGACGGAUAAGCUAAUUUCUGCCAUAAGGUAGAUGGUGAACUUAGGAUGUGGAGUUUCAAUAAAUACCUAAAAAUACCUAAACUUUUGGCAAUUCAAAUAGAUUAUACUAAUUUUUAAUUACUUAAAAAUAUUGCAUAAAUUUAAUAACAAAAAGGAGAAUAAAAGAAACAUGAAAUUAUACCUGUCAAUUUGUUAUUGCUAAGAGAAAGGUAUUGGAGAGAAGUCAAGUUUCCAAUAACAAGAGGAAUUUUACCUGAAACAUAUAAUUAAAUCAAUAAAUAUAUAAUUAUUUUUAUUAAUUAUUUUAAGAGUUUAAUAAGGCAAAUCUAAAAGGUAGAAGAAAUAGCUAAUUAGAAGUAGUGUGUGAUUCAAAAGGGUAUAAAGUAGGUCCAAAUUAAAAAUCAAAUUUUAAAAUAAUUUAAUGUAAAAUUUAACUCUUUUCUUAUCACCAAAUAAAUUUACUUUCAGAGAAAUUACAAGUUUUAAUAAAAUAGUUGAAAUAAGUGAUUGUUUAUGACUAGGUGAAAAUUAGAUGAAAAAAACAUAUAAUUAAUAAUUUAUAUAUCUAUUUCUCUCAUACUAUGGACUAUGGUCGAGCAAAAAUUAAUAAAAAAAUCAAACGGAUAGAAAUAGCUUAGUUACAAGAUUGAUGUUAAUCCAAUAAAUUUUUUAAAAAAAACACAUUGUUUCCAAAAGGGUAAGAAAUAGGUCCAAAUUAUAAUUCAGAACAUAAAUUAAUUUAAUGUAAAAUUUAAAUAAAAUUUAAAAUUCUUUCAUUAUCAAAUAAAUUUUCUUAAUAAAAUACUUUUAGUGAAUUAAUUAGAAGUCUUACUUAUUAACAAUAAAAAAAAUAUUUAUCCUUGUGCCAGAAAAAAACACCGCAUAGAUCAUAAAAAGGAAAAACUAAAACAUCCAUAAAACCACUAAACACAAAAUUCAUAGUUGUAGAGGAGGAUUAGAUACAUUGGUCCCAUAAUAUGUCACUCAAAAUCUCAAAUUCAUCCAACAAAAAGAAAUCAUCACUUUAGUUAAUUAAAUCAAGAACAAAUAAAGUUAUGGAUGAACAAAUAUGGGAAGCAAAGAAAUGUGACGGAUCAAAAGGGACGAAUAAGCUAAUUUCUGCCAUAAGGUAGAUGGUGAACUUAGGAUGUGGAGUUCCAAUAAAUACCUAAACAUACCUAAACUUUUGGCCAUUCAAAUAGAUUAGAUUAAUUUUUAAUUACUUAAAAAUAUUGCAUAAAUUUAAUAACAAAAUGGAGAAUAAAAGAAACAUGAAAUUAUACCUGUCAAAUUGUUAUUUCUAAGAUAAAGAAAUUGGAGAGAAGUCAAGUUUCCAAUAACAAGAGGAAUUUCACCUGAAACGUAUAAUUAAAUCAUCACUUUAGUUAAUUAAAGCAAGAACAAAUAAAGUUUUGGAUGAACAAAUAUGAGAAGCAAAGAAAAAUGAUGGAUCAAAAGUGACGAAUAAGCUAAUUUCUGCCAUAAGGUAGAUGAUGAACUUAGGAUGUGGAAUUCCAAUAAAUUCCUAAACAUACCUAAACUUUUGGCCAUUCAAAAUCAAAUUCUAGUGGUUAAAAUUAUGAAAUGAGUAAUUAUUAUUUUUACAGCAAAAAAUGUGAGUAUAUAAAGAAAAAUAAAAAUAAAAAUGUAGAGCAAUAUAAAAAGAAGUUUUAAGGUAAGUAGGUUUGUUAUUUUUAAGAAUAAUAGUAAAGCAGGACAUUUGGUUUUGCUUAUAUAAGAAGUUGGUUCAUGCAUAGGGAUGUCAUAUUACCCAUGUUUGCAUUUAAAUAUUUGUAUUAAGAAAUAUUUUAUUUGAAAGAGUUUAAUAAUUUUAAGCUGUCUAAUAAUAAAUAAAUUAGUCUAAGAAAAAAUAAAGCAUCUCAAAAUAUAUGUCUUAUACCAAUAUUCUUAUAGUUGUCUAAUUUCAAAGUAGUUAAAGGAUUAAACGUGUAAUUAAUUGUAUUUUUAAAACGACAGUUAUUUUAUUUUCUAUAUUUGUUUAUUUUUUAUUUUUUUAAAUAUAUAUUUAAACUUUGCAAAAUGAAUGGAUAUAUUUGAACAUGAAACAUGAUACAAUAAUUUAGUGAGAAUGAAAUAAAAUAAUGGUGGAAAAAUGAUAUGAUGACAUUAAACGGAAAAUAAGCGAAUGAAUAAAUAAGUAAAUAAAGGAGAAUAAGAAGAUAAAGACCAAAAACAAUUGCUAUGCUAAUGAAUAAUAUCAAUAUUUCUAUGAUGAUAACAAAACAACGAUUAAACGAUAAUCAUGUUGUGGUUAUUAUCUUAGUAUUACAUUGAAUAAAUAAUAAUGACAAGAACAAAGAAUAAAAUAGAAUAAUAUGUGCAAAUGAAUAAUAUAGACAAAGAUAAAAUAUAUAAAUUUUAAAUACUAAAUAAAUGAUAUAGUAAAUAAAUAAGCAAAAUUAAUCGAAAUACAAAGUAAAUUGGAACUCAAGCAAAGUUUAAAACUCAUAUCGCAAAAUAAAUGAGGGAAAGGGACCACAAAUAUACAAAUAAAAUGAAAAUAAAUAUAAAUUUUAAAUAUAUAAAAAAUAAAUAAAAAAAAGAAAUAACGAAUAAAUGACUAAAUAAAUAGAUAAGACAAAUAUAAAAAAAUAUUAAAUUUAAGUGUUUAAAAAUUAAAAGAAUGAUAAACAAAUAAAUAAAUAAAUUUAAGUAUUUGCAAUUCAAAUUGAUGAUAUUUUUCUUAUUCUUAUGCUUUUCUAAUUUCAAAGUACUUAAAGGAUUAAAUGUGUAAUUAAUAGUUUUUAAGCCAAAAGUAUUAUAGUAAAAAGUUAAAAGAUUGUAAAGUUAUUUAGUAAUAUAUAGCACGAUUCUGUUAUAAGUAUUAUAACAGUACCAACAAAAAGGAAAAUAAAGAUGAUAUUAUAUCUGUUAAGUUGUUAUAAAAAAGAAUGAUGAUCACGAGAGAAAUAAGGUUUCCAAUAACAGAUGAAAUUUCACUUAAAAUCAUUAAAAUUUACUAACAGAUCUUAAAAUCGUUAAAACUCAAUGCGGGUAGGUAUAAGUCUGAAACAUAUAAUAUCAACUAUGUACUCUGUAAUCAAAGUUAAUUAAGAGAAAUCAUAUACUCUAUUUCUUUCCUAUUCAAGAAUAUCAACACAUAAAUAAUAAGGAUAGAAAAAAAUAGGUAAUUACAAGUCUUGUGUGAUUCAAAAGGGUAUAAAGUAGGUCCUAAUUACAAAUCAAACCUUAAAUUAAUUUAAUGUAAAAUUUAACUCUUUUCUUAUCACCAAAUAAAUCUACUUUUAGUAAAUUAGGAGUUUUAAUAAAAUACUUGUAAUAAAAGAUUGUUUAUGACUAAGUGUUUUGUUUUCAACAUAUUUGGAAUUAACUUGCCUUAGAAAAACAGUCUCUAUUAUUUUUAAGAAUAUAUUAUAAAAGCAAGAUAUGCCACUUAGAGAAGUUUCUUUAAGUAUUUUUUCUCGGCCAAAAUAAAAGGGUUAUUGUUUAAAGUCCCGUUUCAUUACUUAAAACAAUUGUUGAUGGAAAUUGGAUAAAAAUGAAUGAAACAAUAACCAAGAAUUGUUUACCUUUGAAAUGGUUGUUACUAAGAGCCAAAGUCUCGAGCAAAGUCAAAUUUCCAAUUUCUGUAGGUAUACUUCCAUCCAAGGAGUUGUAACCCAAUGAUAAAAACUUCAGCUCUUUGCACUUGAAUAAACUAUUUGGAAUUCUACCGGAAAUUUGAUUCCCACCCAAGCCCAACCUUUCUAGUUUUGACAAAUUGCCUAGAGUAGAUGGGAUAACACCAACGAAGUUGUUAAGGUACAAAGACAAUCUUUGAAGUUUUUUUGGUGUUUAAGGGCAGCAGCAAGCUAGUUUGCACUUGCUUGGACAACAAGUGUCGAGCCUUGCUGAAGACACUAUCGAAGAAGAAGAAAAUUUUGCAAUGGAAAAAAUAGGAAAGAAAGAGAUGAUUUGAAUGAAAAUUGAGCUGAAUUUUCAUUAAUUUUCACAAGAGGCAUAAUGCCAAUACAUAUAUGAGAUAACAACAGCAAAACAAACAAGUUACCACCUAAUAACAUACCUAACACCACUAAUUUGCCUAGUAACUUGGUAAACUUGUUUGAACACAAAACAAGCCACCUAAACUUGUCAUUCAGCACCUAAUUACAUCAAAAUGCAACUACCAACUAAGUUCAAAACAAACUAAAAUACAAAGAGUUCAUUUGAGUAACUAAAUGAAACAAAGCAGUUUCGGUUUGCUGCUUGGAGCACGUUGCUUGCAUUGCCACUUUUGCUGCUGCAUGGGGGCUGACUUCAACACUCCUCCUCAGCUUCUAUGCUGCAGACUCCUAAUUGCUUUCUUAAGCUUAGAAAUCUCGAUGUACCAAGUGAUUUUGUGAAAAUAUCGGUAAUCUGAUUUUCAGAGUUGCAGUGAAUCAGCUCGAUCUCUCGGGCUUGUUCCAUUUCUCUUAUCACAUGCAACUUAAUGUUGAAGUGUUUUGUCCUGCCAUAGAAGACAGGAUUUUUAGCAAUAGCGACUGCUGAUUUGUUGUCACAGUAAAUCUCAGUUGCUCCAUUUUGUUGUAGAUUCAAAUCAUUGAUAAUUUUUCUUAGCCACAUAGCUUGAUUAACAGCAUUAGUAGGUGCUACAUAUUCUGCUUGAGCUGUCGACUGAGCCACCAUUGUUUGUUUUCUUGAACUCCAACAAAUCAUACCUGAGCCAAGUGUAAAAGCAUAACUAGAAGUGCUCUUCAUAUCGUCUUUUGAACCAGCCCAAUCGCUGUCAGUGUAUCCAAUUAAUUUCAACUCCUCGACCCUUCUGAAAUGUAUUCCAUGGUUCAAGGUACCUUUGAUGUACCUCAGCACCCUUUUUCUGCUUUGUAAUGUUGCUGGUUACAACAAUGCAUGAAUCUUGACAGCAUGCUAACUGCAAAUAGAACAUCAGGUCUCGUUGCUGUCAAAUAUAGCAAAUAGCCAACAAGACUUCUGUAAUCUGUUUCAUAGACAGAUUCAUGAUCUUCUUUGCUCGAUAGUUUCAUGCCAACAGCCAUAGGUGUGCUAGUUGGCUUGCAGUUCUUCAUUGAAAAUUUGGCUAGGACCUUUGAAGCAAAUGAUUUCUGUCCCAAGAAGAUUCCUUCACCAGCUUGAUUAACUUCCAUUCCUAGGAAGUAUGUCAUCAACCCCACGUCUGACAUUUCAAACAUUUCCUUCAUUUUUGUUUUGAAAUCAGCUAACAUGAAUUUGUCUCCUCCAGGCACUAGAAGAUCAUCAACAUAGAGUGACACAAUGAGCUGUGUUUCAGCUCGAUUUCUUUUAACAUAGAGUGUUGGCUCGCUAGCACUCCUUUCAAAUCCAAAACCGAUCAGGUAUGAAUCAAUUUGAGCAUACCAGGCUCUAGGAGCCUGUUUUCUUAGCCUAUACACCAAAUGUUCUUUACAUGGCAUUGUGAAUCCUGGAGGUUGCUCGAUGUAUAUCUCCUCUUCCAAGGAUCCAUUGAGAAAUGCAGACUUCACAUCCAUUUGAUGGAUUGUCCACUGGUUCUGAGCAGCUUCAGCAACCAACAAUCUGAUUGUAUCGAGCCUGGCUACUGGAGCAAAUGUUUCCAUGUAGUCCAGACCAUAUCUCUGACUAAAACCCUUCAGAACCAAUCUGGCUUUCAGUUUGUUUAAGCUUCUAUAUGCAUUGUGCUUUACUCGAUAGACCCAUUUUACACCAAUGGUCUUUCUGUUAGCUAGCUUCUCAACCAACUCUCAUGUCUGGUUCUUCUCAAUCAUGUUGAUUUCAUCAACCAUAGCCUAUUUCCAGCCUUCAUCUGCCUCAGCCUCUUCAAAAUUGCUAGGUUCUGCUAUAGCAACCUGUGCCCUUUCAUAGAUUUCAUCCAAGGACCUUGUGCCUCUCACAGGCACAUCAUCAACAUCCAUUUCAGGACCAAGCUCCUCUUGAUUAGGCACCAGGUCUUCUGAAACUGCUUCUGGCUCAUUCUUCUCCCAAUUCCAGCAAGCCUUUUCAUCAAAGAUAACAUCUCUGCUUACCUGAACUUUGCUUGUCAAGGGAUCUAGAAUCUUACAGCCCUUUUUGACUGAGCUAUAACCUACUAGUACACCUGGUUGAGCCCUUUUUGAGAGCUUGUCCCUCCUUGCUGCUGGUAUUUGUGCAUAGCACAGGCAACCAAACACCUUCAGAUGUGCCAAGGAAGGCUUGAAUCCAAACCAAGCCUCGAAAGGUGUCUUGGAAGCAAGAGCUUUGGUGGGAAGCCUAUUCUGAAGGUAGAUAGCAUUGUUUACUACUUUAGCCCACAUGUUCUUGGACAUUUUCUUCUCAAACAGUAGGCAUCUGGCCAUAUCCAUCAGACUUCCGUUCUUUCUUUCAGAUACCCCAUUCUGCUGAGGUGUGUACACAUUUGUAAGCUGGUGUUUGAUGCCAGCAUCAUUGUAGAUGGGUUGGAACUGAGCUGAAGUGUAUUCAGUGCCAUUGUCUGAUCUUAUCAAUUUCAGCUUGCAACCUAUUUCUAUUUCUACAGCAGUUUUGAACUUCACAAACACUCGAGCUACCUCAGACUUGUGUUUCAAGAAGAAAAUCCAACAAAACCUUGUAAAAUCAUCAAUGAAGAGGAUGAAAUACCUAUUUUUGCUAAGUGAUUCAGUCCUCAUCAAGCCACAUACAUCAGAGUGCACCAGCUGCAGUCUUUCAGUAGCUCUCCAUGCUGCAUUUGUAGGAAAUGGCAAUCUUGCCUGUUUCCCCAUCUGGCAAACUUCACACACAUCAUCAUGCUCCACUGAGUUGGUGAAGUUCUCAGCCAAGCCCUCACUGGCCAUUCGAGCCAUUGACCUGAAGUUGGCAUGUCCAAGCCUUUGAUGCCAGAGCUUGGAAUCAUCUGUAGAGGCUGUGUAUGCUGACUUUGAGUCAUUUGGCCAAUGAACCUCAAAGCAUUUGUCAGUCAUUGUGAUUGUCAUAAGGCUUGAUCCACUUGGAUCAGCAAUGAGGCACUGUUUAUCCUUGAACACAACUGAAUAACCUUUCUCAAGCAGUUGAGCUAUGCUGAGAAGGUUUCUGUCAAUCUCAGGCACCAAUAGCACAUUUGGAAUGACUUUGUUGCCUGUAGGAGUACAUAUCAGCACCUCUCAUCUUCCUUUAGCCCUUAUGAACUGACAAUUUCCAACCUUGACCUUAGUUUUACAACUUCUAUCCAAGGUUUUAAACAAGGAGGCAUCUGGUGACAAGUGGUUAGUGCAACCACUGUCCAGUAACCAGUCGUUUGAACAUUUCUUCUCAGCAGCUAAGCAAGAAACAGCAAAGACUUGCUCUUCUUGGUCACUACUAUCUUCAGCCACUCGAGCUUCAACCUUUAGUUGUUGAAAUUGGCUCUGCCUUGGCUUGGUUCUAUUUUUGCAAACCUUUUCAACAUGGCAUUUCUUCUUGCAGUGUUGGCAUACUACAUCUAGUCUGAACCAGCAUCUAUCUUCUGGAUGUCCUGGCCUCUUGCAAUAUCUGCAGGGUUGGUCACUGCUCCUUGCAGCAUCAGGCUUAGGCCUGUUUUUCCAAGGCUUUUUGCCUCUAUGAGUAUUGAUGCUCGAGGCUUCUCUGGCCUUGGCUUGAAAUGCACCUUCCUGGUGAUCUUCAGCUCUGCUAGCUCUCCUUUGUUCCUGAGCAUAGAAAGUGUUAAUUAGCUUAGUCAAAGAGAUGCUAGCAAGGUCUCUUGAGUCCUCUAAGGAGGAUAUCUUUGCCUCAUAUAUUUCAGGCAAAGUGGAGAGAACUUUCUCCACGAUUCUUGCCUCAUCAAAGUACUCACCAAGGAGCCUUAUGCUGUUGACCACUGCCAUGAUUUUAUCUGCAUACUGCUUCACUAUUUCUUCUUCCCUCAUCUUCAGAUUCUCAAAGUCUCUUCUUAAACUCAACAGCUGUUGUUGCCUUGUUCUUUCUGUGCCUUGAAACUCCUCCUUAAGCUUGUCCCAGGCCUAUUUUGGAGUCUCACAGGCCAUAAUUCUGGUGAAGAUGACAUCUGACACACAGUUCUGAAUGCAGGACAUGGAUUUGUGCCUUUUGGUCCUCUCAUCAGCAUGUUGUCAGAUCUGAGCUACUGUGGGAUUGGCCCUCAGUGGUGCUGGCUUAACAUCUGUGUUGACAACUUCCCACAGAUCAAAGGCCUGCAGGUAAGUCUUCAUCUUUACUAGCCAUAUAUGGAAGCCUUCUCCAUUGAAGACUGGUGGGGCUGCUGGUGAAAAACUUGAGGAAGCCAUUCAGUUUUCUUGGUUUGAUACAACAGGUCCACUAAGAAUGCAACUUUGAUACCAAUUGUUGGUGUUUAAGGGUAGCAGCAAGCUAGUUUGCACUUGCUUGGACAGCAAGUGUCAAGCCUUGCUGAAGAAACUAUCGACGAAGAAGAAAUUUUUGUAAUGGAAAAAAGGAAAGAAAGAGAUGAUUUGAAUGAAAAUUGAGCUGAAUUUUUAUUAAUUUUCACAAGAGGCAUAAUGCCAAUACAUAUAUGAGAUAACAACAGCAAAACAAACAAGUUACCACCUAAUAACAUACCUAACACCACUAAUUUGCCUAGUAACUUGGUAAACUUGUUUGAACACAAAACAAGCCACCUAAACUUGUCAUUCAGCACCUAAUUACAUCAACAUGUAGCUACCAACUAAGUUCAAAACAAACUAAAAUACAAAGAGUUCAUUUGAGUAACUAAAUGAAACAAAGCAGUUUCGGUUUGCUGCUUGGAGCACGUUGCCUGCAUGGCCACCUUUGCUGUUGCAUGGGGGCUAACUUCAACAAGUUUACUGAAGCAACCAAACCAUGAUGGGAUUUCUCCAUUGAAGCUAUUAUUACCAAAGUCUAAAUAUUUCAUCCGACGCAAAUUAGUUAACUCAAUGGGUAAAGAGCCUUGGAAACUAUUUUGAUGAAUGUCGAGCCAAGCAAGGAAAGAUAGAUUUCCCAAUUGAGAAGAAAUGGUGCCCGUGAGAUCCAUGCUUGACAAAUUCAGAGCAGUGACUCUAUGGUGUCUAGAUCCACACGUGACACCAAUCCAGCUACAAACGGAGGUAGAAGUAGACCAAUUUGUUGCCAAGAAAUUGUGAGGAUCAUGAGUUAUAUGAGAUUUGAGUGCUAGAAGAGCAGAUUGAUCAAUGGUGAUGCUAGAAUAUUUUGCAAGCAAAAUAACCCCAACGGUUGCGAAUAGCAGUCCAAACAUAAACGGAGGGAGGAAGCUUGGUUUUGCCAUAAAGUUGGAUAUGGGUGUAAGGCACAUCAUAAGGAGAGAAACAACCGAGUUUAAUACUUUUCUAAUGUUAGUUCAAUAUUCUUUAAAUACUUUUGAUUCUAAAGACCAUUGACUCAUAGUUUGAGUAAGAAAUACAUACAAUCUUGUGGGUCCAACCAUGUUAUAGGGAAAAAAAGGAAAGCCAAAAUAGAAGAGUUAGUCUCAAGUUGAAGAGUAGAACUAAUAAUUCAACCGCAUUAACAAAGAUCAUCGUUUGGAUAUAUUAACAAAAUCCGAACUCGCAAUUAUAUCUACUUAUAUGAAGGAUUUAAUUGAAGACAAGUAUAACUUGUUAAAAUAUAAAAUUUCAUCAUUGGUUUUGAUUCUGUGGUGGUGUAUUGUAUGUAUCAGUUGGGGGUGGGUAUUCUUUAUUUUUAUUUUCAUAUAUUGGUGAGAAGCUCAUAUAUAUCCCUUGUGAUUGAACCAAAAAUUGGAAUAUUUUCUUAUUUCUGCCCUCUAUUAUUAUGGAUUCUUCUUUUAUAAGCAUUUUUUAUUUAGUAAUUAAAUUAGUUGAAAUUAAUUUUUUAUCAUUGAACCUUAACAACGGUUUGAAAUUUGAUCUAAGUGAUGACCAGAGUUUUUUUAUUGGUCUAAUAGUAAAUUUAGCCCUCUAAUAUUUAUAUAUUCUAUCAAUUUGAUCUUAAUAAUAGAAAAAUUCAACAAGUUUAGCUUUCAAUGUUUACAAAAUUUGUCAUUUUAGUUUAAAUUCUACAAUGUUCAAUAAAUUUAGCCCUUAAUAUUUACAAAAUGAUAAAAAAAAUUUGUCUCUUUUAACCCUUGAACUAACGUCGUUUGUCAAACCACCUUAAAAUAGAUGUUGACAUGGCAGUUCACAUGCAUGCUAUGUCAUCAAUUGUUUAAAAGAAUUAAAAAAUAUAUAGAAAGUUAUAUAAAAAUUCAAAAAAAAUAUAAAAGUGUUAAAAAUUCAAAUAUAUAUAAAUUAUUAAAAUUUCAAAAGGAAUAUAUAAAAUAUAAAAAUAGUAAAAAUAUUAUCAAGCUUACAUUUCUAAUAGGUAAAAGAGCUUUUCUAAGUUUUCACUUAAAUAAACAAAGCUCUGUUUUCUUCUAACCCUGGGAGCCGCUAUUACUAACAUUGACACUGGUGGCUCCUUCCAGUCACUAUCAAUGACAUUUCAAAUCUAAAAUCCUAAAAUAUCAACACCAGCACUAAUGGCAUAUUUCAAACAAGGUUGAGACAAGUUUUUCAAAUCCAAAAUCUAGAAAUAUCAAUUGACAAUGCUUUGAACCAACAUGCCAUUGGAUUCUUUUAUCUCUUUUUCCAUUAAUGCUCAAUUGGUUAUUAUAAAUGGCUUGAUUCAAAAAAGGUUGAAUGAGUUUUGUUGGAAUGAUUGAUUAUAGUAUUGUUUUUAUUUAGGUUGAAUCAGAUGGUUUAAAAUUUUUAAAGUGUUUGAUUUCUAUUUUUAGUGUUUUUGUUUUAGUGUUGUUUUUGAGAUUAAUGAGCAAAAAUUAAAACUGAGACUUAACUGUGUUGAUUAAUGUUAGGGAUAAAAGUUUUUGGUUUUUGUUCAAUUUUCUACUACUUUUAACUGAGAUUAAAACUAAAAAAAAAGUCAAUUUUCAUUCAUCAGUUUAUCCAAGAAAAAUGUUCUUAGUGUUUGAUUUCUAUUUUUAGUGUUUAAUUGAAUAAGUGGUUUUAAAAAAUUUCAAACAAAUUUUUUUUGUUCACUUUCAAUUUUCAUUCAGGCUUGAAUUUUGCUUUUUAUUUUAUUUUUUAUUUUUGUUGUGCAUUGAUGAAGUUUUUAGAGGCUAUGGGUAUAUUAAACAAAGAAAAAAAUGGUGUUAAUAAUUAAAAAGAAUUAAAACUUAUAAAAUAAUUAAGAAAAUAAAUAAAAACAGGAAAAAAAAUUAGUGAAGUAGCCGUAAAGGUAGAAUGGGAAGGCGGUGUUGGUGAAUGUGGUAUGAUGAGUCGCAGUUGGUUGGAUGGUGAUUUUCAUGCGUUGAGCCAUUAUAUUGGGUUGGUUUUCACACUUUCUUCUAUUUAAACAUGAAUUUUUAAAGAAUGACCAACUUUUUAGACCAUUAAUUUCACACAAGAAAAGUCAUUUGAAGGCUGCAAUAGCAGCACCAUUAUUCACGUUUGGGCGAAACAUUGAAUUAUUUUUCAUCCCCUCCAUUGCUUCCACCCUCUAUCCUUCUCUACUUUUUGCAUAUUUGAAAUCACAUUCUUAAUUUUAAUAAUAUGUAAACCAUAAAUAAAUUAUUUUAUCAAUAAUCAUAAUAUCCAAUGCUUAAACUAAUUUAGUUUAUUUGCUCUGAGAAAUAUCUAGAGACUAGAAUGUUCCCCAUUUUCUGUCAAUCAAGAAAGAAUAUUUGAAUACAUAAGAUUUUAAUAAUGUAUAUUGUUUCAUAGAUGCAUGCAUUUGCAUUUAGGAAACCCAAAGCAGAACAUCAUACCAAUCACAAACCCAACAUCAAAGCAAAAAACAGAAUAGUAAACAAAUCUUCAGCAUGCCAUCACCCUCCCAUGCUUUAGCAAUAGUAAACACAAUUUUUAAACUACUUUCUAAGUCUCAUUUUAAAAUAUUUAACUCUAAUCUUUUAACAACUAUUUUUUCAUUUUAAUAUUAGUUCAAAAUUUUUUUAUUAAAAAACUAUUUUAAUAUUUUUAGAGCUUGUUAACUUAUUUUUAUAAAUUUUGUAAAAUUAAUCUAUGGAUUUUGUAAAACAAAUUGAUGGAGCUUUGGGUUUAGUUGGUAUCAAAUGAUGAAGAGAAAAUUGAAUUUUAAAGUCCCAAAAUACUAAAUAGCAAGACAGCUAUUUUUUUCGUCAGCCAAUAAACAUAUUUAUUUGAAAAUAAAGACAAAAUAUUGCCAAAAAAAGUUGCAAAACCCAAACAAAAGAACAAAUCACCUAGGCAAAUACAAAGGACAAAUCACCAAACCAAAGCUCCACAACACCAAAACAUGAUGACUUGUAAACUUCUCAUAACACACACAAAAAAAAAAAGAAACUCAACCACCAUUUGAAGCCUAUGAAAUUUUCUUUUUAGAAAAAGAAAAAGAAAAUCUCAAAUCUAACAAGUAUUAAAUUUUACUAUCAAAAUAGUAGAAUAUUGUCUUCCAUGUAUAGCUUUAAAUUUAAGUUAUUUGUGAUGUAUACUCAAGUAAAUAAUAAUGUGAUUUCAAAUCAGUUAAAUAAAUUUAGGGUAAUUUACACCAACAGUCACUCAACUUUGGGAUAGUUGACAAAACAACCACUUAGGUUUCAAUUCAGUCACUUAACUUUCAAAAAUAACAAAGUAGUCAUUUUAACCAUUUUCUGUUAUAGACGUAAUGAAAAAGUGACAUGACAAAUGACGGAUUCCUUGUUGUCAUUAACCAACUAGCUGAUCGGUUAGCACCAAUUUAAACAGCCCAUUUAGCACUAAUUUAGAGUUUAGGCAGUAGAAUAAGAAGAGGAGGAGGAGGAAGAGGAGGAGAGAAAAAAUGGAGAUGUCGACUGUGACUCCGGUGUGCUAUUGUAGAAACCUAGCAAAAUUAAACACGUCUUGGUCUAAUGACAACCCAGGUAGGAGGUUUUUUGGGUGUAAGAAGUUUGGGAGUGGGUUUCAAAAACCAUGUUAUUUUUUCACCUGGAUUGAUCCACCAUUGAUGCCCCCCGUUCACGAAUUUUGUUGUUGGGUCUUCUAAAAAAGUGAGGACAUUGGAGGAUGCAAGGAGGAGGGAGAGAAAAACAUGAGUUUUGGUGCUUGUACUUGUAAUAUUGUUGUUAUUUUUUAAACCCUAAACCAGUUUAUGUGAUAGCUGAUGUUGUUGUUGUUGUUAACACUGAAAACCAACUUAUGUGGCUGUUGGUAUCCUGUUUUGUUAUCCAUUCAUGGUUAGUGGAAGCUAGGGGUCCUAAAUGUAAUGGUUUGUAAAGGGUAGAAGUUUGCUUAUGGACUUGAAAGUUGAAAGACUAAUUGUAAUGGGAGAGUAUUUGGUUGUUGUAAUGGUCUGGUAUUCUCACAUAUUUGUAUUUUAUUUCAUUUGAUUUUCUGAAUGUUUAAUCUUCUUUUAAAACUUUAAAGAGUAUUUAGUUAUUGUUUUUUAUUUUCUUACAUUACAUGGAUCAAUGCUUAUAUGUUAGAAGAGAUAAAAUAGAUGGAAAAAAGACAGAAACACAUUAGUCAGCAUUAAACUUCUUUCAUAUAUUAAGGCCAAACUGUUUACAAAAGGAAGGGCAAACUAUUGCCAAAUUCACCUACAAUUCAACAUAUUUGAAUUGUAGGCAACUUUACAAAAUAUUUCAGUGGCUAUAUGCCUAAGUUUAGAAAACAGUAGCAAUCAUAGGCAAAUUUACAAAAAAAAUAAUCUGCCUAAUCUAAGAAAUUAGUUGGUGUGUCGUUGAAAGCACCAAAUAGAUCCUAACCCUAAAUAACAAAAAGAAAUAGUAUAAGGGGAGUAGGGUCAAAUCCUUUAGGACUGGAUCGGUACAGCUUCUUGUUCCUCAAAAUCCUGGGCAUAGUCGUGCCCAAGAAAAAUGUCUAACCUGGAAAAUUUAAAAAAAUAUAUAUAAUUAAGAAUAUGGACGAGUUGAAAUUAAAUAAAUUGAAACUGUACUUGUGAAAAGAAGUAUAAUUAAGAAAAAGGGAUUUUUCAAUUGAGGGAUUCUAACCUUUGGUUAUCUCGAUCCUCCUUUGGUUCAAUCAUAGGCUUUUAGGUGAUCAUUCUCAUGACUGAAUAGGCUUGUUAUAGUGGAAGAAGACACCUAUGACCACCAGUUCCACUUAGGUUAUAGCCUUACGAUUUAGAGGAACCUGACUCUAGCCAACCGUCACUUUCGUGGGACCGUCUUACACUAGAUCAUCGUUUCUCAAUGGCGAAUUCGUCUCUUAGGCUAGACAACCUCUGAUGCAGUAAGUUAGUGAACCAACUGUGAAUCUUCCCAAAACAUACAAAGCGCCCACCUUAGCACAAGAUAAAAAUAUUACUUUUAGAAGGACAUGAAUGGAAGCGUUAGUCCCAUAAUGCAGAGAAAUGAUGAAUACUCGUUGAGAAGGGUUAAGUACGAGUUCUAAGCCUAAUGAACUCUUUUUGAGGAAUCUUUAUAACAUUUGGCUAGACAAGUUUAAUGACUCAUGCUUUUUGGGAAAAAACACAAGUUUUAAUGAAAUAAAAUUUUAUUGAAAAAGAAACAAAAAGGCUAAGAGCCUUAGGGGGAAAGAGUUUUUUACAAAAGUGUUGAGUGAAUAUUCAUGUCACUCCAUCCCCUAUUUAUAGUACAUAAAAAAUCUAGUUUGUUACUAUUUAAACUCUAUAUGAUAAUAUUUAAGAGAUAUAAUUUGAAAUUAAAUCUAAACAAUAUAACAAUUCUAACAAUAAUCCUAAAAAUAAAAUUAAAUUUAAACAAAGUCUUAUGUUCAUAAAUCUCUUCUUCGAAAUUUUACCCCAAGUCUUCUACACUUUGUAUUUUCGGCACUACUUCUUCCCUAUUUUGCAUGCUGACCCGUUUUGUAUUUAAAUUCACGCUUUUUGUCCCUAAAUUUCUUUUUACCUUCAAUUUAGUCCCUACAAGAUAAAAAACCAUAAACAACCAAAAUUAGUAGGAUCAUACUCAAUAUAUAUAUGUAAUUAACACAUAAAAGUAUGUCAUUUUUUAGUAUUAUCACUAGUAGUAGGUAUAGGUCUAGACAAAUUUAGGCAAGUUCAAGAAGUUGACAAAAUAACGUCCUGUUCCCAAUGUCAUCAUUAGUUUGUCAUGGAUGACUCUUGAGUAGAAGGUAUCCAUCUAAAAGUGGUUGGUUUCCUCUUGAAUGGAAGAUUUCCUCUUGGAGCAACAUCUUUUUGGUGAGUUGGGGCAACCUCCUUCUGAGUUGGGGUAGUUUCUUGUUGAUUUGGGGCAACCACUUGGUUGUGAACACCAAAUUUGUGUCUUUUUACCUACAAGAAUAAGUGAAAUCCAUAAAAAAAUUUGCAUUUAUAAGUAAUAUAAUGGAACAAAAGCAAAUGACUUACUAGAAGUUUUUGCUAACUUCUUCUUUGCAACUCCUCUUAUUGUGGCCUUUUUUGUUGCAUUUACUGCACCUCAUUUCCACCCCUCUCUUGGUCAACCUUUCUAUUUCUUGUGGUUCAUCAGAUUCUUUCCUUCUCACCUUAGUAGGUCUGUCAGGUGACUUUCUCAAUGUAGGAGGCAGUAUUGAUAGCAUGUUUGGCAUAGAUGAAGUUGGAGUAAAUGGCAAGCUGGGUUUAUGAAGUUGGAGUAAAUGGCAAGCUGGGUUUGCUUGGUGUACCAAGUUUGUACAUAAUUUUUUGGGAACUCAUCUUUUAGAUGAAUGACACCCACUCCAUGUAUGCAAGGGGUGCCAAUGAGAUCCCAAUUCCUGCAGGAGCAAGAAUUCUCAACUAGGUCCACCACAUGCUGACCACUUGGAUCACAUUCAACCUGAUACCUAUCCCCAAAAACAUGUGAUGGAACACACCUAAAAAAUAAUCACUAUAAUAAUAUUAAAAACAUGUGAUCGCCCCACCAACAAUCAUACAUAAGGCAUAAAUAUAUUAAAAAUGCCAGAAUAAAGACAUACAUGUAUUUGUCCAACAACAUGUGAUCAACCCCACUAGCUAUCAUACAUAGGCAGAAUAAAGACAUCAGUAUAUUAAAAAAAUUAUCUAUUUACCUCAGUGAAUCUUUGAUAUUGACAUCUAGCUUUUUCUUGAUCUUUGGACACAAGAUUCUUUUAAUUUUUUCAGCUUUUUAUUUAUUCUUGACAAUCAACAACAUAAUCUUGGUCUUAAUUGUUUCCAUCAUGGUCAGGAUAGAUUUCCCUCUUGCUUUCAAUAUCACCUGCCAGUAAGUAACAUAAAAGAUUAGUGAAUUACAUGUCCUUAAUGAUUAGUAACAUAAAAAAAAUAGGGGUUUACCUUGUUAAAGCAUUCAGAAAAAUUAUUCACCACCAUGUCAGACUGGCUCCUAAUUGAGAAGUGGGACCUUGACCAGUGAGUAGGGUUCUUUUCUUUCAACCAAUCAUAAGCAUGUUGAUUGGUAUUCUUCAGUUCAGCCAUGACAUCCUCAAAAUCCCUUGGAGUGCUUGCUCUGACAGCUUUCCAAAGCAAAUCUUUCAAUUUCUUUGUUAGGAAACCAACUUUCUUGAAAUUUGAAUGUAGAUGUCUAACACAGUGUCUUGUUUCUACAUUAGGAAACAACAUAUAUAUUUCUUCUAAAAAUCCUGCAAAUAGAAGAAAAAUAGUUUAAUUUUUUGACAUAUCAUAAACCCUAAAUAGAAACAACAUAAAACAAGUAGACAAAUCAACUAGUAUUACCUUUUGUUUGUAAGAUAUGAAAGAUAUCUAGUAUGAGCUCACAAUUUCCAGGUCUAAUGCGAGGAACUCUAAGAACUAGAGCCAUGAUGCUUAGUUUUCACUUUAAAUAGCAGCAUAUGCAAUAGGAUGGAUGUCAUUAUUUGCAUCUAUCCCAAUAGCUGCCAGUAGGUAGCCACCAAAGUAGCCCUUCAAGAAACAUCAAUCUAAACCUAUUAUCCUCCUACAAAAAACCCUAUAGCCAUCUUUGCAUACCUGCAGACAGACAGACAGGCAUUCUUUGAAACAACCUGUUAUCUAGAUAACAGAUUGUUGUUGUUCCCUCAUUCUGGGUCUUAACCUCCAACAAAUAUUCAUAAAUCUUCUCAUAUUGUGCCUUAUGAGCUCCUUCAAUUAAUUCAAAUGCCCUAAGUUUAGCCCUCCUACAUUUGGUUAGUGAGACAAGUCAAAGGAAAUCUUUUUUCACAUCUUGUUGCAAUGAUGUCAAAGAAUAAUCAGGAUUAACAAUGAACUAUUCUUUAUAAUGUUUACCUAUCCAAGAUGAGGUUACAUUUUUAUUUUUAUAGACUUGAGAGCAAAUAAUGUUUACCCUAUUAGACACAUCACUAUCAUAUACAUCCCUAACAGACACAUCAAAAUUAGAUAUUUCUUCUUCAAUCUCAUUAAAAUUAUCAUAAAUUAAAAAUGCCAAACAAAUUUAACAUCAAUAAAGGAAGACAACAACCAAACAAUUUAAUACAACAUGACAGACAAUAACCAAUACAAUAUAAAAGCUAAAGAACAAAUUUAAUCCAAUUCAUAUUUGAAACUAGGAAUAGAUUUCUCUCUUUAUAACCAAACAAUAACAAAACUUGAUACCGUUACUCAUAAAAAUAGUAAAAGAUUUGUCUCUUUCCUAAGGCAAUUAGUAUGCAAAUGACAGACAAUAAGUUACAAAAAUCCAAACAUGCAAUUCAGAUUGAUACAAACAAUAAACAUAUUUUCCAGGUACAUUUAAAAUACUCAUAAAUCAUAUUUGAAUAGAUAAAUCAGUUUGAUACAAACAAUAAACAUGACAUACAUAGUAUCAUGCACAUGGAAAACCAUACACAAUAUCUACCAUUCACUUUAAUAACCAGACCUAAACCCCAUGUGAAUAACAAAUGAAAUCAAAAUUUGUCAUGGACUUUAAUAACAAAUGAAACCAAAAUUUGGCAUAAACCCCAUGUGAAUGCAACAUUUUUCAAAUUUUAAAUCUAGACAACCCUAAAUUGAAAUAACCCUAAAUGCAAAAAAUAAAAAAACCAAAUACAGAAACUUACCCAUUACAGUGGAUGUAACAACAUUGGCAACUUCUUUUCUAUUAACCAAUGUGGCUAAAAACCAAAAACACCGAUAACUUCCCCCUUUUGUCUUCUUUUCUCCCCAAACAAAAAAAAACCAAUUGAUUUCUAAUCCUAAACCCUAUUAAUCAAUUUCCUAAUGGAUUUUCUAACCUUAAACCAACCUUGUUAAUCAAUUCUCCAAUCGAUUUCUAACCUAGAACCCUGUUAAUCGAUUUUCUUUUCCUCCUCCCCUUAAUCACAAUCAAUUUUUUUACCCUAAACCCAUCUAUUAAGCUUUUUCCCUAAACUCGAGUCAAACCCUGACCCUUCCAAUGCUUCACCAAUGUGCAAGUUAAUUGGCCACAUCAGCUAGUUAACUUGCCACAUCAACGGUCCUAUUAAGACAGUAAUGGAAAAUGUUAAUAAGUGACGUAUUUGCACUUUUGAUAACGUUAGUGGCUGAUUUGUUAUUUUUCAAAAAUUGUGUGACAAAAUUGAAACCUGAGUAGUGACUGUUUUGUCAGCUACCCCCAAGUUGAGUGAUUGUUGGUGUAAUUUACCCAUAAAUUUAUAAGUACUUGUGGUUUUAUAUUCAAAUUGAAUCUUUUCGUUAAUUGUAAUUUUCAAAGACGAAAAUUUACGUAGGGUCGCUUUUACAAAUAAAACAUGAACUAUUCUUUCAUAAAAACACUUGUAUAGUAUGAAAAGGACAUGAUUCUCAAUUGUAUAAGUCAAGGUCUUUUAUAAUUCGUAUUAAUGCAUUGUUUAAUAUCAACAAGGAAUCUUUAGCCCCUUCUUUCUAUCUAUGUCUUCCUCCCAUUUUCCUUUGAUGUGAUGGAUUAAACUAUGUAGAGUAACCAAUAAUUAUACCAAAUUCUAUUAAUUUUUUUUGUAUAUUUGAAAUCAAAUUCUCAAUUUUAAUAAUAUGUAAAACAUCAAUAAAUAAUUUCAACUUAAAACAUAUUUCAAUGAAAACGUGUUUGAUGGAGAUCCUCAACAUAUUCUUCCAUUAACCGCAUUGAAAGAAUGACCACUUUUUCCUUCAUUGGUGUUUUUCAUGCGUUGAGCCAUUAUUAAUCUCCCUCAUAUUGGGUUGCCUUUUACACUUUCUUCCAUUCAAACAUGAAUUUGUAAAGUGGCCUCCUUUUUCACCAUCAAUUUCACACAAGCUUUCCACAAGAAAUCUUAUUUUAAGACUGCAUUAUUCACGUUUGGGCCAAACACAGAAUUAUUUUUCAUCUCUCCAUUGCUUCCACCCUCUAUCCUUUUCAACUUUUUACCCUUACUUUCCAUUUUCAUUAUUCAUUGUUUUAUUUAAUAAAAUGAUAUAAUACCUGUUAAGUUGUUCUUAAAAAAAUUAAUGAACGCGAGAUAAAUAAAAUUUAUCAACAUUUAGUUAUAGUGUUUAAAUAUAUUUAUAUUUAUAUUUAAUUAUAUGUGUUUGAAGAUAAAAUUGAUAUAAUUUGUAAAUAUGGAGGGUUAAAUUUAUUGAAUCAUUUUGAAUUAGAAUUAAAUUGAUAGAAUAUAUAAGUAUUGAGGAAUAAAUGUAUUAUUAUAGCAGUUAGAAAAGGCAACAUCAUUGUUAACUAUUUAACGAAGAGUGACCAAAAUAGAAAUAAUCUAAAAUGUGAGAAAACAAAAUAGAAAUGAUUUAAAAUGUUAGUGACUAAAUUAAAAAUUUUCAUAGUUAGGUGACCAAUUCUAUAGUUUACCCUAGAUAGUAGAAGCAAUUAGGAUUAAUUCCACCAAGCAUCUCAAACUAUUACUCAGAUUUUAAAUUGCACCCUAAACUUGUAUACAUUCUAAUUGAAUCCUCAAAGUAUCAAUAUUGUAUCAACCAGGCCCUUCUGCCAAUUUAGCUAUCAAUUUGAGCAUUAAAUGUCAGUUUGGAUAUGAUGUAAAACAUAUUUAAAACACGUGGUUGAAAUUGUAAAUAUGUAUGUAUUUAUCGCAAGGAUAACUAGGAUAUCACAUAUUUAAAAAACAACGGCAAUAACAUUUAAGAAUCUUUUUCAUUUUCUAAAUAUAUGUUUAGCAUGUUAGAUUCAAGUAGUUUAUGGAAUAGAUGCAAACAUAUUUACAAUUUGAUCUACAUUUGUGCUUUUAAAUAUACUAUAUGUUAGAUUUAAAAGUGUUCAUUGGUUGGGCUUGGAUUUAAGUUUUUAACCUUGGACCAGCCCGACCAGGCUCAUUUUAUUAUUAAAAAAUAAAAAUAAUUUUAUAUUAAUAUAUUUUCAUAAUUAAAUUUGAAUAAUUUUACUAUCUUUUAAUUAGUGUAAUGGGCUAUUUGGCCAAGCCGAACCCUAGCCUAGAAUUUUUUUUGAAACCGAGCCUAUGCUAGAUUUAAUCUAUGAACACUUCUAAUUAGAUUCACUUAUUAUUUUUAAAUUAACAAUUAAACUGACAAAAAGACUUAACUAAUAAGAUUUUAAGAUUCAAUUACAUGGUUUCAAAAAUUUAACAUACGAAGUUACAACAAAAAGUUAAACUUUGCGUACAACUAUGUUGUUAGCUUGAUUGAUUUCUUACUACUUAUUAAUAUCUUUUGUUACUUAACAAAUUUGACUUGAAGAUAUUUAUAGCUAUUUCAAAUACUGGAUUUCCGUGCAUUUAUUUUUAUACUUUACAUUGGAUUAAUUAUAUAUUUUGAGAAAAUAUAAUAUUUGAUGCAUUAAACGUAACUAUUAUAAAUAAAUAUUAAUAACUUUCGGAUUUAAGAUGUUGAGUUUAAAGUUUAGGGUUUAGCAUUUAUUUAUAGAUAAUUAUGUAAUAAAAUUAUUAGUAUUUUUAUAAGUUUUUCACUAAUUUUUUGUUUUAUUUAAUAAUGAUGUAUUAUGUUAUUAUUCACUAAGAGUGCGAAUAACUUAUGCACCAAUAAUACAUCAAAUAUUCUCGAAAAUUAAAUUUAUAUGAGAAAUCCUAUUAUAACAAUUUGUAAACAAAAAGUUGUCUAAAAUUUUCCACUACUAAUUUUAGAAAUAAUUUCUGAAUAUAUUUUUCCACUACUAAUUUUGCAUUAUUUUACCUCCUUAUUGAAAUUUUUUGGGUUUUCUUUUUUUACUAAGCCAUAUCAAUUUUAUUAAAAAGAUAGAAAGACAAACUUUACAAACCAGUGCAGCUAGCAAAAACACAUCAGGGAACAUUGCCGUGAGAGAGUGUUGAAAAAAAAAGGCUGCUGCUAAAAAAAACAGAACAAAGAACUGCAACGGAAGCAAUGGGAAUUUAGAGAAAUUGAUAACAGUGAUGCAAAACACUUUAUUCCAUGAAGAGUUUAAAUACUGAAAUAGCUAACAACUUAGAGAUAUAUUAGGACUCUAAUAGAAUCUUGAUACAUCUCCUAAAUAAAAGGAACACUACUGGAAUUAAAAAAACAGACUUACAACAGACUUUGACUGACUCAACGUCUAAAUUAUUCAAUCAGUAAAUAAUUUCUACAUUACCCAUUAACACUCCCCCUUAAGGUAGAAACUCUCCAACACCCAACAAUUCUCUCAAAUAAAUGAACUUCUUCGGUGGAAGUGGCUUUGUGAACAAAUCAGCAACUUGUUCUUCAGUGCAACAGUGCUCCAACUUGAUAUCUCCCUUUGCAACCAGCUCUAUUAUGAAAUGAUGACGUGUUUCAAUGUGCCUUGUUCUACUGUGAUAAACAGGGUUUUUUGUCAUUGCAAUUGUUGACUGAUUAUCACAAUAGAUGGUAGUUGCCUCCACUUGUGUUUGCUUUAAAUCACCAAGAAUUCUUCGUAUCCAGACAGCUUGACACGCAGCAGUAGUAACAGCCAUAUAUUCAGCCUCCGACGAUGAUAAUGCAGUUGCUGGUUGCUUCUUUGAGCUCCAUGAAACAGCUCCGCUACCCAUAGUAAAAACGUAACCAGUUGUACUCUUGCGAUCUUCAAUGCAACCACCCAAAUCACUAUCUGAAAAACCAUACAGUCUUUGAUUGUUAGAGAAUUUAUACCAUAUUCCAAAUGAGCUUGUCCCCUUCAAAUAGCGCCAGAUUCGCUUGGCAGCUCCAAAGUGAUGCUUGCUUGGACUCUGCAUAUAUCUAGACAAGAGACUUGUUGCUUGCAAAAUAUCAGGUCUACUAUUUGUUAGAUACAACAGACUCCCAAUCAAACUUCGAAACAAUUGACAAUCAAUUUUCUCUCCCCCAUCAUCUAAGCAAAAUUUUUGAUUGGUGCACAUUGGAGUACUCAUGAGAUUGCAGUCCUUCAAGUUGAACUUUUCAAGGAGAUCAUUCACAUAUUUUUCUUGAGACAUAAAAAUACCCUCUGCACAUUGUUUAAUUUCAAGCCCCAGAAAGAAACUUAUCAACCCCAAAUCAGUCAUUUCAAAUUCGUCUGUCAUCAGCUUUUUAAACUCAUUCAACAAAGCACUACUAUUGCUAGUAUAAAUCAAAUCAUCAACAUAAAGGCAAAUAAUGAGAAUUUCAGAAGUACCUCUACUUUUCACAUAUAGAUUUGGCUCACUGGGACUUCUUUGAAAACCAUUAUUGCUGAAAUGUCCAUCAAUUCUUCCAUACCAGGCUCGCGGCGCUUGCUUUAAGCCAUAUAGAGCCUUUUUCAACCUAUACACUUUCUCUUCUUAAUUUGUAAGCUCAUAACCUUUUGGUUGCUGCACAUAUACUUCUUCUUCUAAGAUCCCAUUUAAAAAGGCCGACUUGACAUCGAACUGAUAAAUUUCCCAACUUAAUUGAGCUGCAAUUGACAAAAUAACACGUAUGGUGUCAAAUCUUGCUACCGGAGAGAAAGUUUCUUGGAAAUCUAACCCUUCACGCUGCAUGUACCCUCGUGCUACCAGUCUUGCUUUAUGCUUUUGAAUGGAACCAUCAGCCAGGAAUUUAGUUUUGAAAAUCCAUUUUAACCCAACAGCUUCUUUUCCAUUUGGAAGAUCUACUAAUUCCCACGUCUUGUUCCUUUCCAAGGCUUUCAUUUCAUCAUCCAUUGCAUCUCGCCAUUCCUUGGAUUUGAUUGCUUGUUCAAAGACAAUUGGAUCUUCAAUUUGGGCGAAUUGGCAUUGUUCAGUGCUUGCAUAAAUUUCUGCCAAUGAUCUCCAUUUUCUAGGUGGUGAUUCUGAUAAAGAAGAGCUUGAUGAAGUGGUAUUUGGAAUUACUGAAGGACUGUUUGGUGCUGAUGAGCAAGAACUUCCAUCUUCAUUUUCUUGACUCGGAUGAGUGUCGAGACAUUCACCAACUUCAAGUAAUGCUUUUGAACCUGCUUGUAAUUCUUUCCAAUUCCAAGAGCUUUUCUCAUCAAAAACAACAUCACGACUAAUUAAUAGCUUCUUAGAUAAAGGAUUAUACAAUCGAUAUCCUUUAGUUUCAUAACUAUACCCAACAAAGAUACAUUUAGUGCUAUUAUCAUCUAACUUUCCUCUCUUUUGAGAUGGAAUAUGCCCAAAUGCAAUGCAACCAAAAAUUCUCAUAUGAGUUACCUCAGGUUUCCACCCAUUUCAAGCUUCAAAUGGUGUUUUUUGUUCUAGAGCUGCUGUUGGAGAUCGGUUGAGGAUGUACACUGCUGUGUGAACGGCUUCUGCCCAGAAACUUUUUGGAAGAUUUUUAGCUUUAAGUAAGCAUUUUCCCAUCUCAACAAGACUUCGAUUCUUCCUCUCAGCGACUCCAUUUUGUUGAGGACUGUAGCUUGCUGUUAGCUGGCGUUGAAUGCCAGAUUCUUCACAGAAUUUGUUGAAUUCAGUAGAAAGAAAUUCUCCACCACGAUCUGUCUGCAAGGUCUUUAUAGGCUGGCCACUUUGUUUCUCAAUACUUACUUUAAACUUCUUGAAAACUGAAAGAGCCUCUGAUUUUUCUUUGACAAAGUACACCCAUGUCAUUCUACUAUAGUCAUCAACAAAGACUAAAAAGUACCUGUUGUUAUUGAGAGAAAGUGUUCUCAUCGGCCCGCAAAGAUCAACAUGAAUAAGUUCAGCAAGUUGGGAAGCUCUCCUUGCCUUGCCCUUUGGAAAUGAAUCUCGAUGUUGUUUCCCAAAUAUACAGCUCUCACACACAUCACCAAUAUUUUUUAUUAGAGGUAAACCAUCAACUAAAUUCUUUUCAGACAUGAGUUUUAAACUACCAAAAUUUAAGUGCCCAUAUCUGUGAUGCCACAACCAAUUUUCAUCAAAUGAUUCCGCCUUCAAAGCAAGCUUUUCAUCAAUUGUGAGAUUAUAAGGAAAAAUCUUAUUUUUUGCCAUUGGAACACUCGCUAACAGGUGCUUUUUCGAUUUAUCCUUAAAAAUGCAGCAAUUGAAUUCCUCAAAGACAAGUGAAUACCCAUCCACCAUAAAUUGCCCAACACUUAGCAAAUUAGAAUCCAAGUCUGGAACAUACAAAACAUUAUGAACGCAAUUAAGACCUAGGGAAUUCAUCUGUACCGUACCUUUUCCCUUUGCUACACGAACAGUUCCAUCACCAAGCGUUAUUCGGCUAGUUACUAACUUAUCUAAGUUGCUGAAGAGACUUAAUUCACUCGUCAUAUGAUUGCUACAACCACUAUCUAUGUACCAAACCUCAGGAGAACACUUCUUAGCACUAAAGCAUGCAACGAACAGGCUCUUUGUCUCAUCUUCUUCACUAUCUUCAUGAGCCAAGUUAGCCUGCUUCUCUUUAAGCUUGCAAAACCUCUCAAUGUGCCCGAACCUUUUGCAAUAGUAGCAUUGUUUUGGACUACUAUUUUCUCCUUUAUCGUCAUCUCUAUACCGUUGGUUCUGUCCAUUGAAUCGUCCACCAGCCCUACCUCUUCUUCUCCCACGAGAUGAAUUUCCUCCACGCCAGUCAUUGAAGUUUCUUUCGUUGGUGCCCUUUCCACCACGAGAGUAUUGCGACCUACUAUAAAAGGCAUUCUCAACAGACACAUUAUCAUACCUUUUAAUCCUAUCAUCAUGAGAAUAAAGAGAGCCUUGCAACUCAUCAAUUGUUAACACACUCAAAUCUUUUGAUUCUUCUAUAGCUGCAACAACAUGAUCAUAUUUCCUCGGUAAACUCCUAAGAAUCUUCUCAACUACCCUUUGCUCACUUAAAUCCUCACCAUAUUUUUGAAUUUGAUUCACAACAUCAAUUAUUUUUGACACAUAAUCAUCCAGAACAUCAUCAUCUUCCAUAAUAAAAUUAUCAAACUUCCUACGUAGAGUUUGAAGUUUGACAGUCAUCACCUUUGCAGUACCUUGAUAUGCCGUUCGCAGCGUGUCCCAUGCUUCUUUCGAACGCGUCACCGCUUCAAUGCGAGGAAAAAUUGAUUCAUCUACAGCUUGUUGGAUAAAAAACAAAGCUUUAGCAUCCCUCUUUCUUAUAUCUUUGAGAGUCUCAACUGCUGCCUCCUCUUCAUCGUAUCCAUUUUCCACCAAGUCCCAUAGGUCUUGGGACAAAAACAAAGUCUUCAUCUUAGUGCUCCAAACUCCAUAGUUGCUGCCUUGAAAAAUUGGAACCAACGGUUGUGAGAGGUUCACUCCAUUCUGAUUGCUUGCCAUCAUAAGUUUGAACACAGGCCUCGAGUAGCUCGGAUACCAGAUGUUGAAAAAAAAAGGCUGCUGCUAAAAAAACAGAACAAAGAACUGCAACGGAAGCAAUGGGAAUUUAGAGAAAUUGAUAACAGUGAUGCAAAACACUUUAUUCCAUGAAGAGUUUAAAUACUGAAAUAGCUAACAACUUAGAGAUAUAUUAGGACUCUAAUAGAAUCUUGAUACAUCUCCUAAAUAAAAGGAACACUACUGGAAUUAAAAAAAUAGACUUACAACAGACUUUGACUGACUCAACGUCUAAAUUAUUCAAUCAGUAAAUAAUUUCUACAUUACCCAUUAACAGAGAGGACCUAAGAAAACAUAAUACAUACUACAUAACAUACAAUCAAGCACCCACACAAAAUAUAUAUUAAACUGCUACAGAAAAAGGCCUGCAUACCACCAAGCUACGAAGUUUUCUGUUCUGUUUGCAACUUGUUGACCUCGCCAAAGAGUUGCCUUCUCUACCUUUUUGCAAAUCUUUUUCGAACUCGCUCGACGAUCUUGAUUAACCACCAUGGAUUUCCUGUCGUAAAUGCAAUGUACCCCAUGCUCAUUCCCAGAACCAACCCACAUCCAUACCCCAUCAAUAUAGAAAAUUUCCAAUUCAAUUCAUCACCAUCAACAUCAUCUCUAUCAAAUUUGGCUGGAGUUUCCUCAUCAGUAUCACAGCUUUUUGAUAAUGGUAAACCACAUAAAUCCAGAUUUCCAAUGUAGGAAUCAUUAGUGAAAGUAUCAAAUUGUUUGCCUCGAGGAAUGGGUCCCUUGAGAUUAUUUUGAGAAAGGUUUAACACCUUUAAGAAUCCAAGAUUUUUUAACUCUGUCAGACUUCUUCCUUCGAGUUUGUUUGUUGAGAGAUCUAAUGAUUCAAGCUCUGACUAAUGACCUAAAGAUGAUGGGAUAGGACCUAUUAAACAGUUAUGGGAGAGGUUUAGGACAAUAAGUAAAUGAAGCUCACCAAGUAUUUUUGGAAUUUCUCCUUAGAAUUGAUUACUAGAAAGGUCAAUAAUCGUCCAAAUGGAUAAUAGUGAUUCAAACUCUGUUUCCAACCCUUUUGUUGUAAAAGAUAAAGC
RNAcentral lists this long non-coding RNA (35841 nucleotides) under Gossypium barbadense (sea-island cotton). Its description in RNAcentral is "long non-coding RNA (GBAR_LNC021247)". Lineage: Eukaryota; Viridiplantae; Streptophyta; Magnoliopsida; Malvales; Malvaceae. The record is from RNAcentral.